CGACCGCUGGCGGCGUGCCUAAUACAUGCAAGUAGAACGCUGAAGGAGGAGCUUGCUUCUCUGGAUGAGUUGCGAACGGGUGAGUAACGCGUAGGUAACCUGCCUGGUAGCGGGGGAUAACUAUUGGAAACGAUAGCUAAUACCGCCUAAUAGCAGUUGUUGCAUGACAACUGUUUGAAAGGUGCAAUUGCACCACUACCAGAUGGACUUGCGUUGUAAUAGCUAGUUGGUGGGGUAACGGCCCACCAAGGCGAAGAUACAUAGCCUACCUGAGCGGGGGGGCGGCCACACUGGGAAUGAAGCACGGCCCAAAACCCUACGGGGGGCAGCAAGAGGGAAACUUCGGCAAAUGGCGGAAGGCUGACCGAGCAACGGCGCGUUGGUGAAGAAGGUUUUCGGAUCGGAAAGCUCUGUUGUAAGAGAAGAACGAGUGUGGGAGUGGAAAGUUCACACUGUGACGGUACCUAACCAGAAAGCGACGGCUAACUACGUG
This 493-nucleotide ribosomal RNA is filed under the name uncultured bacterium. Its description in RNAcentral is "partial 16S ribosomal RNA". It matches the Rfam family "Bacterial small subunit ribosomal RNA", at positions 30 to 507 of the family's 1533-position model. The record is from RNAcentral.